GUGAGGUGAGGGCCCAAUCCAUAUAUACAGACUGCAACCCCCAUCAUCCCUCUCCAUAGGAUAGACAGGCAAAGGGACUGCUGGGACUUGCAGUCGAGCCACGGGUCACCAGUCGGGAACCAAUCCAUAAUUUAGGCAAGCUUUACCAGCUGGGCUUCUGCCUGGCAGGGGGGUUGCGUAGGAGCAGCAGAGCCCAAGCAAAGGGGGACCUUGGCAACCAGGGUGGGCCAGUGACGUGGAGGAAGCGUGGGAUUCCCCAGCAGUGGCCCAAAGGGCAAGCCAGGUCAUUGGGAGAGGAGCCAGGGCGCCCUCUGCUGGGAGGAAAGGGCAGCGCUGGGGAUGCCCAGGGGCUCAAGGCAGCCCCAGCAGCCACCAAUACUGUAUUGCCCUGUAGAUGUGACUGUAAGCUGAGCCCAUGGUGCCCCAUGUGCAGCAGCCAGCCCUCCGGAUCCGCGGGUUCAAGCAGCCAUGACUUGGAAAUCAAGGAGAAAAAGAUACACAUUGCAAAAGGCCGUUUUGCUCUCCAUUCUCUUCAAUGGGAUUUGCACAUCCAUGGAUUUUGGGGCCUGGAACCAAACCCAGCAGAUACCAAGGGUCCACUUUCUGGGUUGAGGGCAGGUUUUUGAGGCCUAAAUUAAAGAUUCUGAUGCGACCCACAGAUGAGUCAAGGGCUCAACUUAAGAGGCACGGAUGUAAAAGGAACUCUCAAUCAAAGCACUCCCAUUGACAGAUGGCCAUCCAGCCUCUGUUUAAAGACCUCCACAUAGUUCCCAGGCCGGGCUGCCGCUUGCGUCACUGAUGACACUCAGAUGAUUGACAUGCGUUUUGAAGAGGCACAAACUAGCAGGAACAACCAUCGUGCCAAAAAAGAAGGGAUUACAAGGGGAGAAUGAAAAGAUCCACUUUCAUAGCGGGAACGACAGACCUUUUGGAAUCGAUUUACCAACGCGGAGCGAAGGCGAAUUGCAAACUGGUUUAAAUCCUUGGCUGUGGCCUCCUGGCCCCAGGUAGCCAAAGCCAUCCGCCUGGUCCCUGAGCCCGCCAACCCCCGUCUCGGCCAGUCGGUCACCAUUUCGGUGAGGGAUACCCGGUACCCUUACAUCUGCUUUUGGUUCCGGGGCAACGCCUUCGACAAAAACAGAAUGAUCUUCCAGGUUGAGCUUGGAAGAGUGGUGGCCAAGCGGGGAGGCUUCACCGGCCGGGAAAGUUUGGGAAAAGACUGCUCCCUGGUCAUCCAGAACUUGCAGCCCUCGGACAACGGAGAGUUCUACCUCAUUGUGCAAGAAGGACGUCUGGGUCAGACUCAACGCUGGUCAGAUGCCUUGGUCCACCUGCAAGUUUCCUAGUGAAGAGCCUCGCUUGGAGUGCUCCAGGAUCCAUUUCAGAGAAGAUCACAACUUGGAAACCAACAUGCCAAAGAUGAAGCGCCUCUGCAUUCUCACAUGUGCCCUUCCUUCUCUUUGUUUUCUCCUUCCUUGUCCCAAAAAGAGUGAAAAAAGAAAAUGGACCUCCAAUUAAAAUGUGCAUCCUGAAAGUGCA
Sceloporus undulatus (fence lizard) is the source of this 1539-nucleotide RNA transcript. It is a transcript of the gene named carcinoembryonic antigen-related cell adhesion molecule 6-like, with no coding region annotated. The record is from RefSeq and is a predicted model, not a curated record. The transcript is spliced from 4 exons. Lineage: Eukaryota; Metazoa; Chordata; Lepidosauria; Squamata; Phrynosomatidae.